GCCGGAGUAGCUCAGCUGGUAGAGCAACGGUUUUGUAAACCGUAGGUCAGGGGUUCGAGCCCCCUCUCCGGCU
RNAcentral lists this transfer RNA (73 nucleotides) under soil metagenome. It matches the Rfam family "tRNA". From Rfam's summary of the family: Transfer RNA (tRNA) molecules are approximately 80 nucleotides in length. Their secondary structure includes four short double-helical elements and three loops (D, anti-codon, and T loops). Further hydrogen bonds mediate the characteristic L-shaped molecular structure. tRNAs have two regions of fundamental functional importance: the anti-codon, which is responsible for specific mRNA codon recognition, and the 3' end, to which the tRNAs corresponding amino acid is attached (by aminoacyl-tRNA synthetases). tRNAs cope with the degeneracy of the genetic code in two manners: having more than one tRNA (with a specific anti-codon) for a particular amino acid; and 'wobble' base-pairing, i.e. permitting non-standard base-pairing at the 3rd anti-codon position. RNAcentral also lists the same sequence under 2 other names. The record is from RNAcentral.